UGCGUUNUGAACUGGGUGACUAGAGUGUGUCAGAGGGAGGUAGANUUCCACGUGUAGCAGUGAAAUGCGUAGAGAUGUGGAGGAAUACCGAUGGCGAAGGCAGCCUCCUGGGAUAACACUGACGUUCAUGCCCGAAAGCGUGGGUAGCAAACAGGAUUAGAUACCCUGGUAGUCCACGCCCUAAACGAUGUCGAUUAGCUGUUGGGCAGCAUGACUGCUUAGUAGCGAAGCUAACGCGUGAAAUCGACCGCCUGGGGAGUACGGUCGCAAGAUUAAAACUCAAAGGAAUUGACGGGGACCCGCACAAGCGGUGGAUGAUGUGGAUUAAUUCGAUGCAACGCGAAGAACCUUACCUGGUCUUGACAUGUACGGAACCCUCCAGAGACGGAGGGGUGCCUUCGGGAGCCGUAACACAGGUGCUGCAUGGCUGUCGUCAGCUCGUGUCGUGAGAUGUUGGGUUAAGUCCCGCAACGAGCGCAACCCUUGUCAUUAGUUGCCAUCAUUAAGUUGGGCACUCUAAUGAGACUGCCGGUGACAAGCCGGAGGAAGGUGGGGAUGACGUCAAGUCCUCAUGGCCCUUAUGACCAGGGCUUCACACGUCAUACAAUGGUCGGUACAGAGGGUAGCCAAGCCGCGAGGUGGAGCCAAUCUCACAAAACCGAUCGUAGUCCGGAUUGCACUCUGCAACUCGAGUGCAUGAAGUCGGAAUCGCUAGUAAUCGCAGGUCAGCAUACUGCGGUGAAUACGUUCCCGGGUCUUGUACACACCGCCCGUCACACCAUGGGAGUGGGGGAUACCAGAAGU
This 804-nucleotide ribosomal RNA is filed under the name uncultured bacterium. RNAcentral's name for it is "bacterial SSU rRNA". It matches the Rfam family "Bacterial small subunit ribosomal RNA", at positions 622 to 1427 of the family's 1533-position model. The record is from RNAcentral.